This 85-nucleotide transfer RNA is filed under the name Alicyclobacillus sp. ALC3. RNAcentral's name for it is "tRNA-Leu". It matches the Rfam family "tRNA". Rfam says of the family: Transfer RNA (tRNA) molecules are approximately 80 nucleotides in length. Their secondary structure includes four short double-helical elements and three loops (D, anti-codon, and T loops). Further hydrogen bonds mediate the characteristic L-shaped molecular structure. tRNAs have two regions of fundamental functional importance: the anti-codon, which is responsible for specific mRNA codon recognition, and the 3' end, to which the tRNAs corresponding amino acid is attached (by aminoacyl-tRNA synthetases). tRNAs cope with the degeneracy of the genetic code in two manners: having more than one tRNA (with a specific anti-codon) for a particular amino acid; and 'wobble' base-pairing, i.e. permitting non-standard base-pairing at the 3rd anti-codon position. The record is from RNAcentral. Lineage: Bacteria; Bacillati; Bacillota; Bacilli; Caryophanales; Alicyclobacillaceae.
GUCGAGGUGGCGGAAUCGGCAGACGCGCACGUUUGAGGGGCGUGUGGGUAACACCGUAGGGGUUCAAGUCCCCUCCUCGACACCA